GAUUUCUGGUAUGAUGCCCCUGAUCCGCGCCCUUCGGGGUGUGUGUGUUGGUGUGGCGUCUGCCAUCUUUUGUAAGCGCUGGUUUGUCAGGCCUUUACUGGUUUGGCAGGCUCACGUGUUUGCAAGUUUUACUUUGAAAAAAUUAGAGUGUUUAAAGCAGGCUUUUAUGCUAUGAAUACAUUAGCAUGGAAUAAUAAUAUAGGACUUUGGUUCUAUUUUGUUGGUUUCUAGUACUGAAGUAAUGAUUGAUAGGGACAGUUGGGGGUGCUAGUAUUCAGCGGCCAGAGGUGAAAUUCUUGGAUUCGCUGAAGACUAACUUAUGCGAAAGCAUU
RNAcentral lists this ribosomal RNA (332 nucleotides) under Pseudodifflugiidae sp. RNAcentral's name for it is "SSU rRNA". The stretch from base 111 to 332 matches the Rfam family "Eukaryotic small subunit ribosomal RNA", at positions 734 to 955 of the family's 1831-position model. The record is from RNAcentral. Lineage: Eukaryota; Endomyxa; Gromiida; Pseudodifflugiidae.